CUUUUGGGUUCCAGGUAGAACCCCUUGGGUUCCAUGUAGGACUCUCUGUGGAAAGGGUUCUACAUGGAAUCCAAAAGGAUUCUACCUGGAACCAAAAAGGAUUCUUCAAUGGGUUCUGCUAUGGGGACAGUCAAAUGACCCUUUUAGAUUCUAGAUUGCACCUUUUUUUCUAAGACUGUAGUGGUGGUGGUAACUAAUAAUAAUUCAAUUACCCUCAUUAGUGAACGUUCUAGAACAAGUGGAUUCCAACCCACAUAAUACACACAUGUCACUUUUACUCUUCACCCAAACACGGCAAACUUUGACCUCUAAGCCUCUCUGACCAUUGACCCUUCUCUGCCAUGAAACCUGUCUUGAAUUCCACUGAGGGGUUGACUAAGCCUGUAUCCUCCCCUUAGAAGGUAGAGUACCACAGACCUACACUCAGGUCUGUAGCACUGGCUGUCUGAUGGGUGUCUGAUUAAUGUUGGUGAAUCUGCAGCCACCCCUAUAUUCCUCCCCCAGCCCUCAUCCUACACCACCAUACUUCAAGAGGAUAUGUUUACAAACAGUGGGGUAGAGAUACACCAUGUUUAAAAGCAGGUGCCUGGUUAUCUCUGCCUUCAUAUAGCUUCAAAGAGACCCAAAAGGGGCUCAGAGGUGGGACUGUGCCUUAGAUGGUUGGACACAUCACGGGCCUUGGUAUUGCCAAUAAGGAGGAGGGUGCAUAGCACAGUACACCAUACGCAGCUGUAUUAUCUGAGGUGCAUAUUCUGAAAACAAAUUCAAACGUAAAACUGUUAAACACAGAAUACCAGUGGGAAGGAAUUAUACCUUCAUGGUUAAAUUAGCCAUUUCAAAAGCACUAAUGUAAGCUUCCUGCACUGUCAUGUCCCUUUUUUUAUUUUAUGUUUUACCAUUGCACACUUCUUUCCAAUCUCCCCCCCAAAAAGAAUGGGGCUUUGAGUAUUUUUUUCUCCAAAAAAAAGCAUUCCUGUGAAGAUUAAAAUGGAAGGUCCCAGGUGGCGGGUCCCCUGAACCAGCCCUCUAACAGCCUGAGUGACUCCUCAACAGACCCUCUACUACUUUGGCAUCAGCUGCUGAGCGGCAGUAGUAGUGGUAGUGGUAGUGGUAGUGGUAGAGGUAGUGGUAGAGGUAGUGGUAGUGGUAGUGGUAGAGGUCGUGGUAGUGGUGGAGGUAGUGGUAGUGGUAGUGGUAGAGGUAGUGGUAGUGGUAGUGGUAGUGGUAGAGGUAGUGGUAGUGGUAGUGGUAGAGGUAGAGGUAGUGGUAGUGGUAGAGGUAGUGGCAGAGGCAGUGGUAGCGGUAGAGGCAGUGGUAGUGGUAGUGGUAGUGGUAGAGGCAGUGGUAGUUGUAGUGGUAGAGGUAGUGAUAGUGGUAGUGAUAGUAGUAGUGAUAGUGGUAGUGGUAGUGGUAGUGGUAGUGAUUGUGGUAGUGGUAGUGGUAGUAGUGAUAGUGGUAGUGGUAGUGGUAGUGGUAGUGAUAGUAGUAGUGAUAGAGGUAGUGGUAGUGGUAGAGGUAGUGGUAGUGGUAGUGGUAGAGGUAGUGGUAGUGGUAGUGGUAGAGGUAGUGGUAGUGGUAGUGGUAGUGGUAGAGGUAGUGGUAGAGGUAGUGGUAGUGGUAGUGGUAGAGGUAGUGGUAGUGGAAGAGGUAGUGGUAGUGGUAGUGGUAGAGGUAGUGGUAGUGGUAGUGAUUGUGGUAGUGGUAGUGGUAGUAGUGAUAGUGGUAGUGGUAGUGGUAGUGGUAGUAGCUGUACACAUAGCAGGCAGGCUAGGUGCUCUCUGGCUCUGUAGGCUUCGAUCUCUCUACAGGUUACUCAGACUGAUAAUGCAGAGCCUCAGCUGCUCCUGGCCAGAAAGAGAUGCCAUUUACACAGCCAUUUUCUCUGUCUCAGUGUACACACACACAGUGUACACACA
Long non-coding RNA from Oncorhynchus tshawytscha (Chinook salmon), 1916 nucleotides. NCBI's taxonomy places the organism in Eukaryota, Metazoa, Chordata, Actinopteri, Salmoniformes, Salmonidae. The record is from Ensembl.